CGUUGUUCGGAAUCACUGGGCUUAAAGGGCGCGUAGGCGGGUGCUCAAGUCCGGGGUGAAAUCCUCCAGCUCAACUGGAGAACUGCCUCGGAUACUGGGUGUCUCGAGUGUGGUAGGGGUAUGCGGAACUAUCGGUGGAGCGGUGAAAUGCGUUGAUAUCGAUAGGAACUCCGGUGGCGAAGGCGGCAUACUGGACCACUACUGACGCUGAUGCGCGAAAGCCAGGGGAGCAAACGGG
This 238-nucleotide ribosomal RNA is filed under the name uncultured bacterium. RNAcentral's name for it is "partial 16S ribosomal RNA". It matches the Rfam family "Bacterial small subunit ribosomal RNA", at positions 539 to 776 of the family's 1533-position model. The record is from RNAcentral.